GGCUCGUUGGUCUUGGGGUAUGAUUCUUGUUUUGGGUGUGAGAGCUCCUGGGUUCAAAUCCCGGACGAGCCC
Molecule: non-coding RNA, 72 nt
Organism: Danio rerio (zebrafish)
Lineage: Eukaryota; Metazoa; Chordata; Actinopteri; Cypriniformes; Danionidae
Source: Rfam